RNAcentral lists this unclassified non-coding RNA (282 nucleotides) under Hevea brasiliensis (rubber tree). The record is from RNAcentral. Lineage: Eukaryota; Viridiplantae; Streptophyta; Magnoliopsida; Malpighiales; Euphorbiaceae.
GGGUUGUUCACACUAAGGAUUAGAGCAUCCCCAAUGUCCUCUGCUGAAUUUAUAGAAUCAUUGUCAUCUCCAAAUUUCUGAUUCUGUUUCUUCUUUGGCUUUGUACAGUUCGUCCUAAAGUGCCCUUUUUCUCCACAGUUCCAACAAGUCACGUUUGAUCAGUUCAGGAAUUUUCCUUGAUUUUUUGAUUUUGAUCGACCAUGUUGAUUUUGGCCUUUCGUCUUACUUCUCCUCCUUCGAUCAACGCUGAGAGCACUGCCCGAUGAAUAUCCUACUUCUUGU